AAUGGUGAUCCUUGAGGGAGCCAGACGUUGAUCGCGCAUCAGCAUGGUCAUCAUCAUCUUCUUUACGAACAAUCUCGCUGCCUGACCGACUGUGGGCGGCAACGUACCCCGAGCUAUCAGGUGAAGCAGCAGUUUUUGUCUUGGCCUUCUUCCUGCGUCCGUUCACCUGCUUUGUGU
Molecule: microRNA precursor, 177 nt
Filed under: Trichophyton rubrum BMU01672
Lineage: Eukaryota; Fungi; Ascomycota; Eurotiomycetes; Onygenales; Arthrodermataceae
Source: RNAcentral